RNAcentral lists this ribosomal RNA (549 nucleotides) under uncultured Glomeromycotina. Its description in RNAcentral is "SSU rRNA". It matches the Rfam family "Eukaryotic small subunit ribosomal RNA", at positions 548 to 1098 of the family's 1831-position model. The record is from RNAcentral. Lineage: Eukaryota; Fungi; Glomeromycota.
UUGGAGGGCAAGUCUGGUGCCAGCAGCCGCGGUAAUUCCAGCUCCAAUAGCGUAUAUUAAAGUUGUUGCAGUUAAAAAGCUCGUAGUUGAAUUUCGAGAUCAGUACGCUGGUCGUGCCUUCGGUAUGCACUGGUGUCACUGGUUUCUCCCUUCUGAAGAACCGUCAUGUCAUUAAGUUGAUGUGGCGGGGAAUCAGGACUGUUACUUUGAAAAAAUUAGAGUGUUUAAAGCAGGCUCGCGAUUGAAUACAUUAGCAUGGAAUAAUGAAAUAGGACGUUUGACCCUAUUUUGUUGGUUUCUAGGAUCGACGUAAUGAUUAAUAGGGAUAGUUGGGGGCAUUAGUAUUCAAUUGUCAGAGGUGAAAUUCUUGGAUUUAUUGAAGACUAACUACUGCGAAAGCAUUUGCCAAGGAUGUUUUCAUUAAUCAAGAACGAAAGUUAGGGGAUCGAAGACGAUCAGAUACCGUCGUAGUCUUAACCAUAAACUAUGCCGACUAGGGAUCGGAUGAUGUUAAUUUUUUAAUGACUCAUUCGGCGCCUUACGGGAAAC